CCUACGGGAGACAGCAGUGAGGAAUAUUGGUCAAUGGUCGGAAGGCUGAACCAGCCAUGCCGCGUGAAGGUCAGUGCCCUUUGGGCGUUAAACUACUUUUGUGCGGGAGCAAUAAUGGUCACGUGUGGCCAGCCGAGAGUACCGUACGAAUCAGCAUCAGCUAACUCUGUGCCAGCAGCCGCGGCAAUACGGGGGAUGCAAGCGUUAUCCGGAUUUACUGGGUGUAAAGGGAACGUAGACGGCAGUGCAAGUCUGGAGUGAAAGGCGGGGGCUCAACCCCAGGACUGCACUUGAAACUGUACGGCUGGAGUGCAGGAGAGGGAAGUAGAAUUCCUAGUGUAGCGGUGAAAUGCGUAGAGAUUAGGAGGAACACCAGUGGCGAAGGCGGCUUACUGGACGGUAACUGACGUUGAGGUUCGAAAGCGUGGGGAGCAAACAGGAUUAGAUACCCGAGUAGUC
This 459-nucleotide ribosomal RNA is filed under the name uncultured bacterium. RNAcentral's name for it is "partial 16S ribosomal RNA". It matches the Rfam family "Bacterial small subunit ribosomal RNA", at positions 338 to 795 of the family's 1533-position model. The record is from RNAcentral.